GCCUAUCUGGUUUAGUUGAUAGAACAUGUGACUCUUGAUUUCGGGGUUGUGAGUUCAAGUCCCAUGUUGGGUG
RNAcentral lists this transfer RNA (73 nucleotides) under Ailuropoda melanoleuca (giant panda). It matches the Rfam family "tRNA". From Rfam's summary of the family: Transfer RNA (tRNA) molecules are approximately 80 nucleotides in length. Their secondary structure includes four short double-helical elements and three loops (D, anti-codon, and T loops). The record is from Rfam by way of RNAcentral. Lineage: Eukaryota; Metazoa; Chordata; Mammalia; Carnivora; Ursidae.